This 434-nucleotide ribosomal RNA is filed under the name uncultured Lachnospiraceae bacterium. RNAcentral describes it as "partial 16S ribosomal RNA". It matches the Rfam family "Bacterial small subunit ribosomal RNA", at positions 341 to 792 of the family's 1533-position model. The record is from RNAcentral. Lineage: Bacteria; Bacillati; Bacillota; Clostridia; Lachnospirales; Lachnospiraceae.
ACGGAAGGCAGCAGUGGGGAAUAUUGCACAAUGGGGGCAACCCUGAUGCAGCGACGCCGCGUGAGUGAAGAAGUAUUUCGGUAUGUAAAGCUCUAUCAGCAGGGAAGAUAAUGACGGUACCUGACUAAGAAGCACCGGCUAAAUACGUGCCAGCAGCCGCGGUAAUACGCAUGGUGCAAGCGUUAUCCGGAUUUACUGGGUGUAAAGGGAGCGUAGACGGCAAGGCAAGUCUGAAGUGAAAACCCGGGGCUCAACCCCGGGACUGCAUUGGAAACUGUCAGGCUUGAGUGCAGGAGAGGUAAGUGGAAUUCCUAGUGUAGCGGUGAAAUGCGUAGAUAUUAGGAGGAACACCAGUGGCGAAGGCGGCUUACUGGACUGUAACUGACGUUGAGGCUCGAAAGCGUGGGGAGCAAACAGGAUUAGAUACCCUGGUA